UACCAUGCAGUCGAGCGGAUGAGGGAGCUUGCUCCUGGAUUCAGCGGCGGACGGGUGAGUAAUGCCUAGGAAUCUGCCUGGUAGUGGGGGAUAACGUCCGGAAACGGGCGCUAAUACCGCAUACGUCCUGAGGGAGAAAGUGGGGGAUCUUCGGACCUCACGCUAUCAGAUGAGCCUAGGUCGGAUUAGCUAGUUGGUGGGGUAAAGGCCUACCAAGGCGACGAUCCGUAACUGGUCUGAGAGGAUGAUCAGUCACACUGGAACUGAGACACGGUCCAGACUCCUACGGGAGGCAGCAGUGGGGAAUAUUGGACAAUGGGCGAAAGCCUGAUCCAGCCAUGCCGCGUGUGUGAAGAAGGUCUUCGGAUUGUAAAGCACUUUAAGUUGGGAGGAAGGGCAGUAAGUUAAUACCUUGCUGUUUUGACGUUACCAACAGAAUAAGCACCGGCUAACUUCGUGCCAGCAGCCGCGGUAAUACGAAGGGUGCAAGCGUUAAUCGGAAUUACUGGGCGUAAAGCGCGCGUAGGGGGUUCAGCAAGUUGCAUGUGAAAUCUCCGGGCUCAACCUGGGAACUGCAUCCACAACUACUGAGCUAUAUUACGGUAGAUGCUGCUGGAAUAUCUUGUGGAGCGGCGAGGUGCGUCGACAUCGGAUGCAGCACGAGCGACCACGGUGUCUACUCGUGCUUGAUUCUUCAAA
RNAcentral lists this ribosomal RNA (699 nucleotides) under Pseudomonas aeruginosa. RNAcentral describes it as "bacterial SSU rRNA". It matches the Rfam family "Bacterial small subunit ribosomal RNA", at positions 52 to 750 of the family's 1533-position model. Lineage: Bacteria; Pseudomonadati; Pseudomonadota; Gammaproteobacteria; Pseudomonadales; Pseudomonadaceae. The record is from RNAcentral.